UAAAAGCCUGAUGAUCAGUCCAAAACCGUGAUACAUGCACGGCAAGCCAAGCAGUGGAAAACCGUCGCUGAGUUUGACCGAAACAUCCAGGAGAAAAACAUUAUUCCGCUGGAAGGYCCAAUGAAAAAUUAGAUCAUCUUUAUAUUCUCUGGUGGAUUCCAAUACGAUUUCAAGAUAUGCAACCCACGCAAGCACUUCUCCUAUUUCUGGUAGCCGUGUCUCUUUUGGCAUUAAGUAUCUCUUUUGAGCAUGUUCAGAGUGAUGAAGAACUUGAUAAUUUCAUGAAGGAAGGUGAUGCUCACCAUAUAAGCAAAAAAGGCAGAUUGCGGGCACCCUGUGGCUUUACUUUAAGAUGUCGACGACGACGGAUGAAAAACAACUAUUUCAGACGUGGUACGGUAAUCACUGAAGAUGCAGUAAGCGAUAACGAUUUYCCCCCACAAGAAAGUAAUGCAUUGAAAUAAAAAUACAUUCAAAGGUGACGAAGCAGGAAAGUUGAAUUAAAACAAACCAGUUCAAAUAAACGUAUUUUUCAACUAA
Long non-coding RNA from Actinia tenebrosa (Australian red waratah sea anemone), 540 nucleotides. RefSeq lists it as uncharacterized. The record is from RefSeq and is a predicted model, not a curated record. NCBI's taxonomy places the organism in Eukaryota, Metazoa, Cnidaria, Anthozoa, Actiniaria, Actiniidae.